GAUUAACGCUGGCGGCGUGCUUAAUGCAUGCAAGUCGAACGGUCCUUCCCGUAAGGGAAGGACAGUGGCGAACGGGUGAGUAACGCGUAAGUAACCUGCCCCUAAGUGGGGGAUAACUUCGGGAAACUGGAGCUAAUACCGCAUGUGAUCCUUCCAUACAAGUGGAAGGAUUAAAGCCCUCGGGCGCUUGGGGAGUGGCUUGCGUCCGAUUAGCUUGUUGGUGGGGUAAUGGCCCACCAAGGCAAUGAUCGGUAGCUGGUCUGAGAGGAUGGCCAGCCACACUGGGACUGAGACACGGCCCAGACUCCUACGGGAGGCAGCAGCAAGGAAUAUUGUGCAAUGGGCGAAAGCCUGACACAGCGACACCGCGUGGGGGAUGAAGGCCUUCGGGUCGUAAACCCCUUUUCCCAGAGAAGAAAAAUGACGGUACCUGGGGAAUAAGUCUUGGCUAACUACGUGCCAGCAGCCGCGGUAAGACGUAGAAGGCAAGCGUUAUCCGGAUUUAUUGGGCGUAAAGAGGGUGUAGGCGGUUCUUCAGGUCGGAUGUAAAAUCUCCCGGCUCAACUGGGAGGGAUCAUUCGAUACUGUUGGGCUAGAGUGCAGCAGGGGGAGAUGGAAUUCCCGGUGUAGUGGUGAAAUGCGUAGAUAUCGGGAGGAACACCAGUGGCGAAGGCGGUCUCCUGGGCUGUUACUGACGCUGAGACCCGAAGGCGUGGGGAGCGAACAGGAUUAGAUACCCUGGUAGUCCACGCAGUAAACGAUGGACACUAGGUAUGGGGGGUAUCGACCCCCUCCGUGCCGAAGUUAACGCUUUAAGUGUCCCGCCUGGGGAGUACGGUCGCAAGACUA
RNAcentral lists this ribosomal RNA (849 nucleotides) under uncultured Chloroflexota bacterium. RNAcentral describes it as "bacterial SSU rRNA". It matches the Rfam family "Bacterial small subunit ribosomal RNA", at positions 28 to 896 of the family's 1533-position model. Lineage: Bacteria; Bacillati; Chloroflexota. The record is from RNAcentral.